RNAcentral lists this ribosomal RNA (441 nucleotides) under uncultured bacterium. RNAcentral's name for it is "partial 16S ribosomal RNA". It matches the Rfam family "Bacterial small subunit ribosomal RNA", at positions 338 to 795 of the family's 1533-position model. The record is from RNAcentral.
CCUACGGGCGGCAGCAGUGGGGGAUAUUGCACAAUGGGGGGAACCCUGAUGCAGCGACGCCGCGUGGGUGAAGGAGUGCUUCGGCAUGUAAAGCCCUAUCGGCAGGGAAGAAGCAAGACGGUACCUGACUAAGAAGCCCCGGCUAACUACGUGCCAGCAGCCGCGGUAAUACGUAGGGGGCGAGCGUUAUCCGGAUUCACUGGGUGUAAAGGGAGCGUAGACGGCCAUGCAAGCCAGGGGUGAAAGCCCGGGGCCCAACCCCGGGACUGCCCUUGGAACUGCAUGGCUGGAGUGCGGGAGGGGCAGGCGGAAUUCCUGGUGUAGCGGUGAAAUGCGUAGAUAUCAGGAGGAACACCGGCGGCGAAGGCGGCCUGCUGGACCGCGACUGAUGUUGAGGCACGAAAGCGUAGGGAGCAAACGGGAUUAGAUACCCCAGUAGUC